CCAUCGUAACUUUAUCCUUUAUAAAAGGUGUCUUGUUAAGUUGAGGAGUGGGUGUUGUAUAUGAUAUUCCAAUACAAUUCAUUUGAGAUUUUGGCACUUCUAUAUUACGCAAGCCCCUAUCAAUAUUAUUGCAAUUGCAACAGAUGGAUACAUCGAAGCAUCUAAAAAAUGGAUAGAUAGGAGACGUUGAGCCAUCAAAAGUCACUUGGAAGCGAGGAAAUGUCGUUAAAAAAUUGGUUAAGUUCUUGAGUUACAAAAUCAAACAUGAAAUACAAAGAGGGUGCUGAUUUUAGAACUCCAGGCCAUGUAUUGGUUAAGUUCUUGAGUUACAAAAUCAAACAUGAAAUACAAAGAGGGUGCUGAUUUUAGAACUCCAGGCCAUGUUCGCGAGCCGCAUCAGCGAUAGCUUUAACACGGCCAUGGUACGGGUAACCACCACGGUCAAAGGCUACUUUUGUGAUUCCCUUCUCCAGACAGGAUUUUGCAAUGAUCUCACCCACCCUCUUUGCUACUUC
This 515-nucleotide long non-coding RNA is filed under the name Lathyrus oleraceus (garden pea). RNAcentral's name for it is "Pisum sativum (pea) long non-coding RNA (PSAT_LNC000255)". Lineage: Eukaryota; Viridiplantae; Streptophyta; Magnoliopsida; Fabales; Fabaceae. The record is from RNAcentral.